Anolis sagrei ordinatus is the source of this 510-nucleotide non-coding RNA. Lineage: Eukaryota; Metazoa; Chordata; Lepidosauria; Squamata; Anolidae. The record is from the annotation of a RefSeq genome assembly.
CAGCGCAAGACUGACAUGGCUGUAGCACUCCAUUGGUGCUGCUCUGGAGCCUUUGAACUCUGCUCCCAAUUCUCUUGCUUUGUUGUCUGGUAUGCUGUAAUGGUCAGUGCCUCUGCAAUUGUGAACCAAGAGCCCCUGUUUGCUAGCUUCUCACAUGGAGGGAAGCUUGCAUUCAAGUGUUCACAUUCAACAACCUCGACCUAUGAUUUCUAUUGGUAUCGUCAACUGCCUGGAAAGACAGAGCUGCAACACCUCGGGACCUUGCAGUAUUUCACCGAUGAAUGGACUGAGGAGUUCAGCCAUGACCCAAAGAACUGGUUGGAAGGGAAAUGGCAUGGAGGUGGAAAGAAGAAUAUGGCCCUGCACCUCGAGAACCUUCAGGCUGGUGACACAGGACUGUAUCUGUGUGCUGUAAGAGAGCCACGGUGACAGAGGCAAAAACUGAGGCUGGCACAAAACAGUCCCAGGAAGGAAGGAACAACCUAAGUUGACAACUCUGCCACUCAGUUG